CGCAAUGGGCGAAAGCCUGACGGAGCAAUCUCGCGUGAGGGAUGACGGCCUAUGGGUUGUAAACCUCUUUUUUCAGGGAGGAACAAAAUGACGUGUACCUGAAGAAUAAGCAUCGGCUAACUCCGUGCCAGCAGCCGCGGUAAGACGGAGGAUGCAAGUGUUAUCCGGAAUCACUGGGCGUAAAGCGUCUGUAGGUGGUUUGAUAAGUCAACUGUUAAAUCUUGAAGCUCAACUUCAAAAUCGCAGUCGAAACUACUGGACUAGAGUAUAGUAGGGGGAAAGGGAAUUUCCAGUGGAGCGUUUAAAUGCGUAUAUAUGGGAUUUUACACCGGUGGCGAAGGCCCUUUACCGUGCUAGGAGUUUCCUUUUUCCACCAUAUCUA
This 382-nucleotide ribosomal RNA is filed under the name uncultured organism. RNAcentral describes it as "bacterial SSU rRNA". It matches the Rfam family "Bacterial small subunit ribosomal RNA", at positions 367 to 762 of the family's 1533-position model. The record is from RNAcentral.